GAAGAAGACAAAGCCGAGGAAUUACUACUCUUGCUGGCUGUGCGACCGGUCAGUGAUUGACCGGCUGCGUCAUCUAGAACAGGAGCACAAAAUGGAGGCUGGGACAUUCAAUUUCGUUUACACAAGAGGGCCGUUUCCGGAAGGUCGCGAAAACUUCAGGAAAGGUGACCAGCAGACUCGCCACUCAUGGUGACUCGGCAUAGGAGGAUGAGAAGGUGGAGGAUGAGGAGGAGGAGGAAGAGGACUUUUCGUUCCUAACGCGGAAAUACUGCCUGAGCCUGGAACCCAAUGCAAGGGUGAUGCAUGGUCGGAGAAGCUGCAAACUACAUGUUCCUGCGGAGCAGGCCAGGUGGGUUGGCAAACGAGUCGAAAACACAAGAGGUCAACAUGAAGAUCAACCGGUUCCUGGCCCUGUCUGGCUACUUGGAAGGAGCGGUGUUGAGUGACGUGCUGUUGUGGAAGGGCCAUAUGGAGGUCCACGACAGUUCCUCAACACCACUCACCAGCUGAAGACGGUGUGGACUGCACUAACGGCAAUCAAGAACUUUAUGAAGUGGUGCGAGGGAAUGGUCUAGCGGACGCCCGCGCAUUGAACAAUGCCGAUCUCCUUCUCACAGGCUGCCUGACCUCAAGCCGCCUGGAUAUGAGCCGUCGCGAGGUUGUUCGGAGGGUAGAGGAGAGUGCGGCCAUCCUGACGGACGCAAACCUGGAGCGCCACUUCACUGAGAGUGAGCAUGUAGUGAAAACGAUCAAGGUGAUCCAGGAGACCCCGCUGGCACACCUGAAAGAUAUUCGGGGAAUAUUUAUUAAACUGAUAGCGCUCUAUUACGCCUCCUGAACCGGCA
Long non-coding RNA from Dreissena polymorpha, 845 nucleotides. RefSeq lists it as uncharacterized. NCBI's taxonomy places the organism in Eukaryota, Metazoa, Mollusca, Bivalvia, Myida, Dreissenidae. The transcript is spliced from 4 exons. The record is from RefSeq and is a predicted model, not a curated record.